RNAcentral lists this ribosomal RNA (450 nucleotides) under uncultured bacterium. RNAcentral's name for it is "partial 16S ribosomal RNA". It matches the Rfam family "Bacterial small subunit ribosomal RNA", at positions 354 to 796 of the family's 1533-position model. The record is from RNAcentral.
GUGGGGAAUAUUGGACAAUGGGCGAAAGCCUGAUCCAGCCAUGCCGCGUGUGUGAAGAAGGUCUUCGGAUUGUAAAGCACUUUAAGUUGGGAGGAAGGGCAGUAAGUUAAUACCUUGCUGUUUUGACGUUACCGACAGAAUAAGCACCGGCUAACUUCGUGCCAGCAGCCGCGGUAAUACGAAGGGUGCGAGCGUUAAUCGGAAUUACUGGGCGUAAAGCGUGCGCAGGCGGUUGUGUAAGACAGGUGUGAAAUCCCCGGGCUCAACCUGGGAACUGCCUCCAAAACUACUGGGCUAGAGUACGGUAGAGGGUAGUGGAAUUUCCUGUGUAGCGGUGAAAUGCGUAGAUAUAGGAAGGAACACCAGUGGCGAAGGCGACUACCUGGACUGAUACUGACACUGAGGUGCGAAAGCGUGGGGAGCAAACAGGAUUAGAUACCCCUGUAGUCC